Molecule: ribosomal RNA, 344 nt
Filed under: uncultured fungus
Lineage: Eukaryota; Fungi
Description: SSU rRNA
Rfam family: Eukaryotic small subunit ribosomal RNA
Source: RNAcentral
AUGCUUGUCUCAAAGAUUAAGCCAUGCACGUCUGAGAAUAAAGAGUUUUCUCUGAAUCUGCGAAUGGCUCAUUAUAUCAGUUAUAGUUUAUUUGAUAGUCCCUUACUACUUGGAUAACCGUAGUAAUUCUAGAGCUAAUACAUGCAUCAAACCCCAACUGCUUGUCGGAAGGGGUGUAUUUAUUAGAUAGAAACCAAUGCGGGGCAACCCGGUAUUGUGGUGAAUCAUGAUAACUUUGCGGAUCACAGACCUCGUGUCGGCGACGAAUCAUUCAAGUUUCUGCCCUAUCAGCUUUGGAUGGUAGGGUAUUGGCCUACCAUGGCUCCAACGGGUAACGGGGAAUA